GACGAACGCUGGCGGCGUGCCUAAUACAUGCAAGUCGAGCGAACAGAUGAGAAGCUUGCUUCUCUGAUGUUAGCGGCGGACGGGUGAGUAACACGUGGGUAACCUACCUAUAAGACUGGGAUAACUCCGGGAAACCGGGGCUAAUACCGGAUAAUAUUUUGAACCGCAUGGUUCAAUAGUGGAAGACGGUUUCGGCUGUCACUUAUAGAUGGACCCGGGCCGUAUUAGCUAGUUGGUAAGGUAACGGCUUACCAAGGCGACGAUACGUAGCCGACCUGAUAGGGUGAUCGGCCACACUGGAACUGAGACACGGUCCAGACUCCUAAGGGAGGCAGCAGUAGGGAAUCUUCCGCAAUGGGCGAAAGCCUGACGGAGCAACGCCGCGUGAGUGAUGAAGGUCUUCGGAUCGUAAAACUCUGUUGUUAGGGAAGAACAAAUUUGUUAGUAACUGAACAAGUCUUGACGGUACCUAACCAGAAAGCCACGGCUAACUACGUGCCAGCCGCCGCCGUAA
This 514-nucleotide ribosomal RNA is filed under the name uncultured bacterium. Its description in RNAcentral is "partial 16S ribosomal RNA". It matches the Rfam family "Bacterial small subunit ribosomal RNA", at positions 28 to 523 of the family's 1533-position model. The record is from RNAcentral.